UACGNNCGNGNNUAAAGNNAGCUUGCUAUUUUUAUGAAGAGCGGCGAACGGGUGAGUAACGCGUGGGAAAUCUGCCGAGUAGCGGGGGACAACGUUUGGAAACGAACGCUAAUACCGCAUAACAAUGAGAAUCGCAUGAUUCUUAUUUAAAAGAAGCAAUUGCUUCACUACUUGAUGAUCCCGCGUUGUAUUAGCUAGUUGGUAGUGUAAAGGACUACCAAGGCGAUGAUACAUAGCCGACCUGAGAGGGUGAUCGGCCACACUGGGACUGAGACACGGCCCAGACUCCUACGGGAGGCAGCAGUAGGGAAUCUUCGGCAAUGGGGGCAACCCUGACCGAGCAACGCCGCGUGAGUGAAGAAGGUUUUCGGAUCGUAAAACUCUGUUGUUAGAGAAGAACGUUAAGUAGAGUGGAAAAUUACUUAAGUGACGGUAUCUAACCAGAAAGGGACGGCUAACUACGUGCCAGCAGCCGCGGUAAUACGUAGGUCCCAAGCGUUGUCCGGAUUUAUUGGGCGUAAAGCGAGCCCAGGUGGUUUNUUAAGUCUGAUGUAAAAGGCAGUGGCUCAACCAUUGUGUGCAUUGGAAACUGGGAAACUUGAUUGCAGGAAANGAAAGUGNANUNCAUGUGUANCGGUGAAGCCNUAAANAA
This 652-nucleotide ribosomal RNA is filed under the name Lactococcus garvieae. RNAcentral describes it as "partial 16S ribosomal RNA". It matches the Rfam family "Bacterial small subunit ribosomal RNA", at positions 58 to 696 of the family's 1533-position model. The record is from RNAcentral. Lineage: Bacteria; Bacillati; Bacillota; Bacilli; Lactobacillales; Streptococcaceae.